UACGUAGGGUGCGAGCGUUGUCCGGAAUUAUUGGGCGUAAAGAGCUCGUAGGCGGCCAACUAAGUCAGACGUGAAAUCCCUCGGCUUAACCGGGGAACUGCGUCUGAUACUGGAUGGCUUGAGGUUGGGAGAGGGAUGCGGAAUUCCAGGUGUAGCGGUGAAAUGCGUAGAUAUCUGGAGGAACACCGGUGGCGAAGGCGGCAUCCUGGACCAAUUCUGACGCUGAGGAGCGAAAGCCAGGGGAGCAAACGGG
RNAcentral lists this ribosomal RNA (253 nucleotides) under uncultured bacterium. RNAcentral describes it as "partial 16S ribosomal RNA". It matches the Rfam family "Bacterial small subunit ribosomal RNA", at positions 524 to 776 of the family's 1533-position model. The record is from RNAcentral.